This 18-nucleotide ribosomal RNA is filed under the name Carcharhinus obscurus (dusky shark). RNAcentral's name for it is "partial 28S ribosomal RNA". Lineage: Eukaryota; Metazoa; Chordata; Chondrichthyes; Carcharhiniformes; Carcharhinidae. The record is from RNAcentral. RNAcentral also lists the same sequence under 4 other names.
UACGACCUCAGCUCAGAC